Molecule: ribosomal RNA, 481 nt
Filed under: uncultured bacterium
Lineage: Bacteria
Description: partial 16S ribosomal RNA
Rfam family: Bacterial small subunit ribosomal RNA
Source: RNAcentral
GACGAACGCUGGCGGCGUGCUUAACACAUGCAAGUCGAGCGGAAAGGCCACUUCGGUGGUACUCGAGCGGCGAACGGGUGAGUAACACGUGAGUAAUCUGCCCCUGGCUUUGGGAUAGCCACAGGAAACGGUGAUUAAUACCGGAUACGACCACUCCUCGCAUGGGAUGGGGGUGGAAAGUUUUUUCGGCCAGGGAUGUGCUCGCGGCCUAUCAGCUUGAUGGUGAGGUAAUGGCUCACCAUGGCUUCGACGGGUAGCCGGCCUGAGAGGGUGACCGGUCACACUGGGACUGAGACACGGCCCAGACUCCUACGGGAGGCAGCAGUGGGGAAUAUUGGACAAUGGGCGGAAGCCUGAUCCAGCAACGCCGCGUGAGGGAUGACGGCCUUCGGGUUGUAAACCUCUUUCAGCAGGGACGAAGCGCAAGUGACGGUACCUGCAGAAGAAGCACCGGCCAACUACGUGCCAGCAGCCGCCGUAA